RNAcentral lists this ribosomal RNA (401 nucleotides) under uncultured bacterium. RNAcentral describes it as "bacterial SSU rRNA". It matches the Rfam family "Bacterial small subunit ribosomal RNA", at positions 954 to 1358 of the family's 1533-position model. The record is from RNAcentral.
GCUUAACGCGAAGAACCUUACCUGGGCUAGAAAGCGUAAGAACCUUGGUGAAAACUGAGGGUGCCUCGGGAACGUACGAUAGUGCUGCAUGGCUGUCGUCAGCUCGUGUCGUGAGAUGUUGGGUUAAGUCCCGCAACGAGCGCAACCCUUGUUGUUAGUUGCCAGCAUUAAGUUGGGCACUCUAACAAGACUGCCGACCUUUAAGUCGGAGGAAGGUGGGGAUGACGUCAAGUCCUCAUGGCCCUUACGUCCAGGGCUACACACGUGCUACAAUGACCGGUACAAAGGGUUGCCAAACCGCGAGGUGGGGCCAAUCCCAAAAGCCGGCCUCAGUACGGAUAAGAGUCUGCAACUCGACUCUUUGAAGGCGGAAUCGCUAGUAAUCCCUGAUCAGCAUAGCA